RNAcentral lists this long non-coding RNA (3221 nucleotides) under Sus scrofa (pig). RNAcentral describes it as "lncRNA (ENSSSCG00040060482.1)". Lineage: Eukaryota; Metazoa; Chordata; Mammalia; Artiodactyla; Suidae. The record is from RNAcentral.
UUUUUUUUUUUUUCCUUGUAGCUUUUAAGAUUCUCUCCAUGUCUUUAACUUCUGACACUUAAAUUAUAACGUGACUUGGUGUUGUCUCUCUCAGUACUUCUUAUAUGGAACUCUCUGGGUUUCUUAGAUCUGAGUAUUUGUUUCCUUCCCCAGGUUAGGAAAGUUCUCAGUCAUUAUUACUUCAAAUAAGUUUUUACCCUGUUUCCUUCUGGGAUCCCCAUAAUUGCAAAUGUUGGUUUGCUUGAGGUUGUUCCUUAAGCUGUCUUCACUGAUUUUUUCAUUCUUUUUUCUUUAUGAUGCUCUGAUUGGGUGACUUCCACUUUGCUCUCUUCAAAUUCACUGAUCCUUUCUUCUGCUUCAUCUAAUCUGCUAUUGAAGCCCUUUACUGUAUUUUUCAUUUCAGUUAUUGUAUUCUUCAGCUGUCUAACUUUUGUUUGGUACUUUCUUGUAUUUUCUACCUCUUUGUUGUAAUUCUUACCUUGUUCAUCUGUUCUUUUCCUGAGCUCAGAGAGCACUGCUGUGACCAUUAUUUUGAAAUCUCUAUCAUGUAAAUCACUUAUCUCCAUUUCAUUAAGGCCUUUUCUGACAUUUUUUUUUUUUUUUGGUUUUUUUUUUUUUUUUUUGCCUUUUCUAGGGCCGCUGUCAUGGCAUAUGGAGGUCCACACAGUGCAAGGCGAUCCCAAGAAUGGCCACCAGUGUCUAUGUCCCCAGGAUAAGUCACCACCACCCCUUACCUCCUGCAUCUUGGGGAGACUCUCCAAGACCAUCAGAUAUAAGGAAAUUUUUUUAAAAGAUUUAUAGCAAUUUGGUAAAUUAUUCCUCUUUAAGCAGAAUCGAAACAUUCACCUUUUUCUCCCGACCUGAUCUAUCUGGAAUUCAGAAACUCUCAGAAAUAAAAUCUCUACUCCCAGAGGAAGAUAUCAAGUUAGAUGUCAACCUCCACACAUGUCCACAAUUCUCAAAGGCUUAGUGGGAUUUUCUGGGUUAGGAAAGGAAGUAGGGACUCCUUUGUUCAAGACAAGGAAACUUCUGUGGUGACUGCUGAGGUGCCAACUAACUUUGCUAUGAUCAAAGCUGAACUCCUCUCUCUGCCUAUUUCUGAAAAAGGCUUGAGGCUGAGCUGCUAUAGAUUCUCUGGAUUUCUUAGGACAUGGACUGACCUGCACUCUCCCAUCCUGCCAGACCUCUUGUACAAACACCUCUACUUUAAGAGUUCUUCUGUAUCAUCCAUAAGAUAAACAAACAAUAUCCCACUCCCCUAAUACCAAAUAAGGAGAAAAAUAAAAUUCAUAUGGAAAUGCAAAGGAUUCAGAAUAGUCAAAAGAAAUUUGAAAAAGCACAAAGUUGAAAGACAAUAUUACCUGAUUUCAAGAAACACCAUAAAAUUAUACUAAAACUAAAAAAAAGACUUUAAUGGAGUUCCCACUGUGGCACAGCAGAAACAAAUCUUGACUAGUAUCCAUGAGGAUGCAGGUUCAAUCCCUGGCCUCGCUCAGUGGGUUAAGGAUCUUGCAUUGCUGUGAGAUGUGGUGUACAUCACAGACUCAAAUCUUGUGUUGCUGUGGUGGUGGUGUAGGCCAGCAGCCACAGCUCCAAUUGGACCCCUAGCCUGGGAACUUCCAUAUGUCAUGGGCAUGGCCCUAAAGAGCAAACAAAAAAAGACAAAAAAAAAAAAAAAAAAAAAAAAAAAAAAACUUUAUUUGCAAAAAUACAGAUGAAAUAAGUACAGAAAAAGUAACACAUAUGUGAUCAACUGAUUUUUAAGAAAGAUGCAAAGGCAAUUUAGUGGAGAAAGGACAGUUCUUUCAACAAAUGUUGUAAAGCAAUUGGAUGUCCUUUAAAAAAACAAAAAACAAAAACAAAAACCUGACCCUAAACCUCACAUAGUAUACCAGAAUUAACUCAAAGUAGAUUAUAAACCUAAAACUGAAAAACCUCCAUUAGGAAGCACAGGAGAGUUUUCUCUUGGUUAGACGAAGACUUCUCAUAUACAAUCAAAAACAUGUUUAAUAAAAGGAAAAAGUAAUAUAUUAGACCUUAUCAACAUUAGAAUUUCCUACCAUAGGAAAAAUUGUUAAGAGACUGAAAAACCAAGCCAGAGGCUAGAAUGCUAUAUUGGCAAAUCUCAUCUCUAAUUAGACUUGAAUCUAGAAUUUAAGAAUUCUAGAAACUCAAAAAAUACAUCAGAAAAAAAUUUUAGUAGGCAAAAUAUUUGAGAGACACUUAACCCAAGAAAAGAGAAGGAUGGUGGUAAGCAUGUAUAAAAAUUCUAAACACUAGCCAUUAGGGAAAUACAAAACAGAGUCACAAAGGAACACCACUACACACCAAAGGAAAUGGCUACAACUAAAAAGACUGCCCAUACCAAGUGCUGGUAAGAAUAUGGAACAUUAAAAUUCUCAGACACUGCUAGUGGUAAUGUAAAAUGGUAUAACCACCUUAUCAGUGCAUAAAAAGAUAUACAUACACUUACCCUUUGAUUCAAUGUAUUUAUUAUGUUUUUUACUUCCUGUAUGUUUUAAUGUUUUGCUAUCUUAAAGAGCUUAUUGUCCAGGGAAGAGACCACCCCUCCCUGGGCUGUCCCAUUCUUGAGACAGCAAAGGGUUUAGCCAAAAGUACCUCUCUACUAUAAAACCAACCAGUUCAAAUCUAUAGCGCUAGCCACCAAUUAACUCACAUACCAAGCCGGUAUUUCCCCUGCCCUAAAUCAGAAGGCCAGGUACCAGACCAAUCUCAUAGAUCAAGACCUGCUGUAAUUAUUCAAGCUGGCCAGUCCUAAACUCUUUACUCUACCCUGCCUGGCCUCUCCCAUGGAAACCUCAAUAAAGGCCGUGGCCUCUGCUUUCCCCUCACUCUUUUCUGCCUCCUGACCAAUACUGGUGCUCUCUCUCCACAUGGCCCUAUGUUCUCUUUUCCUUACAAAAUGUAAUAAAUUUUUCUUUCAAUGUUAAUAACCUGUGUUGACACUCAGUCACUGCAUAAAUUAAAAUGCUGUGGGCACAAAGGAGACACUCAAGCUUUUUACUCUUAAGUCUUAGACGCUGAAUAAAAAAAAAGGAAGCAAAGAGGAGUUCCCACUAUGGCCCAGCGGGAUCAGCAGCAUCUCUGGAGCACUAGGAUGCAGGUUCAAUUCCCAGCCCUACACAGUGGGUUAAGGAUCUGUCAUUGCCACAACUGCAGUAUAGGUCUCCACUGCAGCUCGGAUCUGAUCCCUAGCCCAG